UCAAAAUGGAGGACGUUCAAGAAAAAUGGAGGAUGUGACCAAACAGAAACUCAAAAUGCUCACAUAAAUAUCAAUUCAUGCUUCUUCUUCGUGCUCAAAAUGGAGGUUGUUUAAGAAAAAGGUUAUGGGAACAGAGAAGUGUGCUUCCUGCAUGGCUGGGGUGUUAGCACACCGUGGACAUCCUGUACUGUACAAGGUUCCCAGGAGAAAAGGAGCAAAGACCAGAGACAUGGAUGAUCCAGGAAACAUAUCCAGGGGUAGCCAUCAUCUUAUGCAGUCUUCUCCUACCCAGAUAUUUGGAACUACAUGUGCAUUGCAGAUGUUGUGGACUACAGCAACCCUAACCAUUGGAAAUGAGAACUGCAGUCAAAAAUACCUAGAGGAAUUUGCAUUG
Molecule: long non-coding RNA, 394 nt
Organism: Sceloporus undulatus (fence lizard)
Lineage: Eukaryota; Metazoa; Chordata; Lepidosauria; Squamata; Phrynosomatidae
Exons: 3
Source: RefSeq, a predicted model, not a curated record